UCAUCCACAAUUCAGUAAUAGCUCUCUAUCAACAUCACCAUAACGUGACCAGCAGCUAAUCGCCCAUCCAAACAGCUCUUUCACGCAGUUUCCUUUCUCAAGAUCUUAAUUUUUGGUGCACAAAUCAGACAAGGAAAAAUAGCAACUUGGUAUUUUCCUCUCAAGUUUUCCCAACUACUCGAUCCAACAGUGAGAGUUUCACACCUCAUUCACAUCAAUCUGCCUCUGCAGUCGACCCUUGUAAAUCUUCAUCGG
Molecule: long non-coding RNA, 255 nt
Filed under: Ananas comosus (pineapple)
Lineage: Eukaryota; Viridiplantae; Streptophyta; Magnoliopsida; Poales; Bromeliaceae
Description: long non-coding RNA (ACOM_LNC034426)
Source: RNAcentral